This 211-nucleotide ribosomal RNA is filed under the name uncultured Lactobacillus sp. RNAcentral describes it as "partial 16S ribosomal RNA". It matches the Rfam family "Bacterial small subunit ribosomal RNA", at positions 152 to 355 of the family's 1533-position model. Lineage: Bacteria; Bacillati; Bacillota; Bacilli; Lactobacillales; Lactobacillaceae. The record is from RNAcentral.
GGAAACAGAUGCUAAUACCGGAUAACAACAGAUGAUGCCUAUCAACUGUUUAAAAGAUGGUUCUGCUAUCNACUCUUGGAUGGACCUGCGGUGCAUUAGCUAGUUGGUAGGGUAACGGCCUACCAAGGCGAUGAUGCAUAGCCGAGUUGAGAGACUGAUCGGCCACAUUGGGACUGAGACACGGCCCAAACUCCUACGGGAGGCAGCAGUC